Molecule: long non-coding RNA, 1287 nt
Filed under: Capra hircus (goat)
Lineage: Eukaryota; Metazoa; Chordata; Mammalia; Artiodactyla; Bovidae
Description: lncRNA (ENSCHIG00000002655.1)
Source: RNAcentral
GCAGGAGGAAGGGCUGGUAGGCGCAGCGACACCCCGUGACGGGCUGCCUGGCGUAUAUGCGAAUGAAGUGACCAUCUGCAUCGAAUAAUUAGAAGCCGUCUUCCCUGACUGCUCUCCAUGUGCCGGCACAGAGGGAGGGGAGGCGCCCCUUUACCGCCGCUGCAGCCCGCAGAGGAGAUGCUGGGGUGGAAUCACGCAUCUUCCCCCACUUUAGGGCACACUACCUGCUGAGCGGACAGGUGCUGGCAGUGUGAUGUCCCUGGGCAUGGAAGCCGGCCUGUCCUCGGCGCUGACAUCUAUAUCUCCGUCUCACUGGAUUUGAAAACUGACACAACAUAAGGACUGUCACUCUCUAUUAGUUGAUCUUUGCGUGCGUCUCUAUUGCAUUGGAAGCCCUGUGAGCAAAUGUCUUGGUCACAGCUGCCCUCUCGCUUCCGCUUGAGGGGCUCACCCCCCGGAAGUGGGGCAGACCCGGAAGUGGGGCUGAGGUCUGAGUUGGUGACUGGGUUUUGUCUCCUGGUUGUGGGCGCUGUCACGCAUCUGCUGGCCUGUUGAAAUGAUCGUGAAUUGGUUUCUCGCGUUCGAUAAUUCUGGCCAAGUCCCACCUUCCCUUUGUUAGCUAAAUACGGUUGGCACUGAGACCUGAUUUUUGCAUGUUUUUGUGCGAGAGGAGCUUUACUUGUUAACAAUUGCAAUGGUCUGUGGCCCUUGGGAACCCAGACUUCAGCGCCCUGCAAGGGUGACUCAGGCAGCCCACAUGGUCACUCUUGUCUCGAGUGUCUGACGUUGUCUCCCUGCCAGUCCUCUCCCCUCUGGCACCGUUCUCUUGUCCUGAGAAAACCUCUGUCAGGGCAACUUCAGGCCUGACUGAGCAGACACCAUCAGACCUCAAAAAUACACAUGCACAUUCAAAGGCAAGAGUAGGAAUCUUCUCAGUAACCAUAAAAUAUGGGGAAUCCUGGAAAGGUGGAGAUGGAAAGUGAAAGAAAGGAAACCCUGAUGUGGAAUGCUCACAGAGAGGCACCAUGUGGAGUUGCCCACACCUGUUCUGCUGGCUUCAUGAAUGAGUGUCUUCUACGUGACAAGAUAAUGAACAAUGUGUGACGACCAUGUCUGGAGGAUCUCCUGCACUGCCUCCAGAGACCAGUCCAGUGCUGCAGACAGAAGAGGCACUGGGCAUUUAGUGACUUAUGGAAUGACAUCAAGUUAGCUAGGGAUUUUGAAUUUUCUUGACACUAUUAAGAAUUCACUGAUUUCAGUUCACUACUUUUCCCAGUUGAGUCUUGC